GGAAUAUUGCACAAUGGGGGAAACCCUGAUGCAGCGACGCCGCGUGGGUGACGAAGUAUUUCGGUAUGUAAAGCCCUAUCAGCCGGGAAGAAGAUGACAGUACCUGACCAAGAAGCCCCGGCUAACUACGUGCCAGCAGCCGCGGUAAUACGUAGGGGGCAAGCGUUUCCGGAUUUACUGGGUGUAAAGGGAGCGUAGGUGGCAUGGCAAGCCAGAAGUGAAAACCCGGGGCUUAACCCCGCGGAUUGCUUUGGAAACUGUGCAGCUAGAGUGCAGGAGAGGUAAGUGGAAUUCCUAGUGUAGCGGUGAAAUGCGUAGAUAUUAGGAGGAACACCAGUGGCGAAGGCGGCUUACUGGACUGUAACUGACGUUGAGGCUCGAAAGCGUGGGGAGCAAACAG
This 400-nucleotide ribosomal RNA is filed under the name uncultured bacterium. RNAcentral's name for it is "bacterial SSU rRNA". It matches the Rfam family "Bacterial small subunit ribosomal RNA", at positions 358 to 775 of the family's 1533-position model. The record is from RNAcentral.